This 66-nucleotide unclassified non-coding RNA is filed under the name Pseudomonas chlororaphis. RNAcentral's name for it is "Pseudomonas sRNA P10". The record is from RNAcentral. Lineage: Bacteria; Pseudomonadati; Pseudomonadota; Gammaproteobacteria; Pseudomonadales; Pseudomonadaceae.
CCUGGUCGACCUGCCGUACUCGAAAGUCGACGGCAUCCAGAUGAUCGUCGACGGCUACCACGGCGA